GCCACUGUAGCUCAGUGGCAGAGCACUGGUUUUGUAAACCAGGGGUCGUGAGUUUAAUCCUCACAGGAGGCA
This 72-nucleotide transfer RNA is filed under the name Acanthoscelides obtectus. It matches the Rfam family "tRNA". From Rfam's summary of the family: Transfer RNA (tRNA) molecules are approximately 80 nucleotides in length. The record is from Rfam by way of RNAcentral. Lineage: Eukaryota; Metazoa; Arthropoda; Insecta; Coleoptera; Chrysomelidae.